UGUUUUUACCUUUUAUAUUAAAAUGUUAUUAAUAUUAUGUUUUAUGCUAAAAAUAGUUCAACAAGUAUUUGGGAAAGUUUGCUGUAAUUUUAAUAAAGUUCGUGUUAACGAUGAUGAUAUGCAAAUGAGUUUACAGCCAAAAGACGGGAGGAGAGGAGGUGGCGAUGUCUCGCCUGUUGCUCUGUUGUGUGCUGUUUGCUUACUCUUUGUGGAUGGUUCAUCAGGACUUACAAAUUGUUUGUGUGGAUAACUCUUUACCUCCGAAUUGUGAGUUAAUGUUAUGUGGAAGUGAAAUCUGUUUUGAGAAUUAUUUGAUACAGGCGAGAUUCAACUCUUGUAAGUUAUUCUUUUGUUUUACUAAUAAAAAGUUACAAUUUGGUAAAUGGAGCAGUUUGUUGAUCUAAUUCGGCACUUGUUGGGGGCUAAUGAACUAAAUAUUCAAAUAAAAAUUAGCUUCGAUAAAAAGCCUGUUAGGCUGAAAUCCCAGGGUCAGAACUGACGUGAAAACGUGGGCAAAGUCCCCGUUUUUAC
This 531-nucleotide long non-coding RNA is filed under the name Androctonus crassicauda. Lineage: Eukaryota; Metazoa; Arthropoda; Arachnida; Scorpiones; Buthidae. The record is from RNAcentral.